This 252-nucleotide ribosomal RNA is filed under the name uncultured bacterium. RNAcentral describes it as "partial 16S ribosomal RNA". It matches the Rfam family "Bacterial small subunit ribosomal RNA", at positions 524 to 776 of the family's 1533-position model. The record is from RNAcentral.
UACGUAGGGGGCAAGCGUUAUCCGGAAUUAUUGGGCGUAAAGAGUACGUAGGUGGCAACCUAAGCGCCGGGUUUAAGGCAAUGGCUCAACCAUUGUUCGCCCUGCGAACUGGGAUGCUUGAGUGCAGGAGAGGAAAGCGGAAUUCCUAGUGUAGCGGUGAAAUGCGUAGAUAUUAGGAGGAACACCAGUGGCGAAGGCGGCUUUCUGGACUGUAACUGACACUGAGGUACGAAAGCGUGGGGAGCAAACAGG